This 253-nucleotide ribosomal RNA is filed under the name uncultured bacterium. RNAcentral describes it as "partial 16S ribosomal RNA". It matches the Rfam family "Bacterial small subunit ribosomal RNA", at positions 524 to 776 of the family's 1533-position model. The record is from RNAcentral.
UACGAAGGGGACUAGCGUUGCUCGGAAUCACUGGGCGUAAAGGGUGCGUAGGCGGGUCUUUAAGUCCGGGGUGAAAUCCUGGAGCUCAACUCCAGAACUGCCUUUGAUACUGAAGAUCUUGAGUUCGGGAGAGGUGAGUGGAACUGCGAGUGUAGAGGUGAAAUUCGUAGAUAUUCGCAAGAACACCAGUGGCGAAGGCGGCUCACUGGCCCGAUACUGACGCUGAGGCACGAAAGCGUGGGGAGCAAACAGG